UAUACAUGCAGUCGAGCGCAGGAAGCCGUCUGAACCCUUCGGGGGGACGACGGUGGAAUGAGCGGCGGACGGGUGAGUAACACGUAAAGAACCUGCCCAUAGGUCUGGGAUAACCACGAGAAAUCGGGGCUAAUACCGGAUGUGUCAUCGGACCGCAUGGUCCGCUGAUGAAAGGCGCUCCGGCGUCGCCCAUGGAUGGCUUUGCGGUGCAUUAGCUAGUUGGUGGGGUAACGGCCCACCAAGGCGACGAUGCAUAGCCGACCUGAGAGGGUGAUCGGCCACACUGGGACUGAGACACGGCCCAGACUCCUACGGGAGGCAGCAGUAGGGAAUCUUCCACAAUGGACGAAAGUCUGAUGGAGCAACGCCGCGUGAACGAUGAAGGCUUUCGGGUCGUAAAGUUCUGUUGUAAGGGAAGAACAAGUGCCGCAGGCAAUGGCGGCACCUUGACGGUACCUUGCGAGAAAGCCACGGCUAACUACGUGCCAGC
RNAcentral lists this ribosomal RNA (490 nucleotides) under bacterium 2311-S4-10-2.2. RNAcentral describes it as "bacterial SSU rRNA". It matches the Rfam family "Bacterial small subunit ribosomal RNA", at positions 50 to 512 of the family's 1533-position model. The record is from RNAcentral.